UUAAAAUCAAUGAAGGAAAAAGUAGUUAAAAUAUGCGGAUUAAGAGAGGAGAUCUAUUAGCUGAGAGGAUCUCUAUCAGGCGUUUUAAUGAAAGACGAUCUGGAGAUGCUUUGUUGAACAUAAGUAAGCAAAGCCGUUUACAAGCGUUAAUUGUUUAAGUGGGAUUAAUCAACUAAUUAAUUCAACUAGGGUGGCAACACGGGUAUACGCUCGUCCCUUAU
Molecule: non-coding RNA, 221 nt
Filed under: Amphibacillus xylanus
Lineage: Bacteria; Bacillati; Bacillota; Bacilli; Caryophanales; Bacillaceae
Description: T-box sequence
Rfam family: T-box leader
About the family: Uncharged tRNA acts as the effector for transcription antitermination of genes in the T-box leader family. T-boxes are found upstream of many aminoacyl-tRNA synthetase genes and some amino acid biosynthetic genes usually in Gram-positive bacteria.
Source: RNAcentral